AAAGUAAAAGUAGAAUUUAAGCUUUGAUAUGAACAGUUUACAAAGAAAGACAUUUUCUGAAAACAUUCGAGAGUUUGUUGAGAAGGCAAGCAUGAAAUGGAAACCAAACCAAUAAGUGUCAGGUGGUGAUUAACAUGUUUGAGAAUGCCCACAAAGUGAGUGUUUCUGAGGAGGUGUGUGAUGACUGCGGGGCUCACAUUGUAGACGUGGAUUUCAAUAAGG
Molecule: long non-coding RNA, 222 nt
Organism: Saccostrea cuccullata (small rock oyster)
Lineage: Eukaryota; Metazoa; Mollusca; Bivalvia; Ostreida; Ostreidae
Exons: 2
Source: RefSeq, a predicted model, not a curated record